GCAAAGCUUUAGGGGUGCCCUUACCGGGCUGAGAGAUCACCCUUUGAACCUGAACAGGAUAAUACCUGCGGAGGGAAAAGCGAGAAUACAGGC
Molecule: non-coding RNA, 93 nt
Filed under: Spirosoma linguale
Lineage: Bacteria; Pseudomonadati; Bacteroidota; Cytophagia; Cytophagales; Cytophagaceae
Description: TPP sequence
Rfam family: TPP riboswitch aptamer (THI element)
About the family: Vitamin B(1) in its active form thiamin pyrophosphate (TPP) is an essential coenzyme that is synthesised by coupling of pyrimidine and thiazole moieties in bacteria. The previously detected thiamin-regulatory element, thi box was extended, resulting in a new, highly conserved RNA secondary structure, the THI element, which is widely distributed in eubacteria and also occurs in some archaea.
Source: RNAcentral